ACAGCCCAAAGGAAAAACCCUAAAAAAACCCCUUCUCAUGUUGCCAGCCGACAUAUAUAUGUAUAGCAAAUGAAACUUUAGAAGCAUAUUUCUCACUCUCUCCAUCCAUCGCCUGCUCUUAUCUCUCCCAUCUUUCUUACAAAUUUGUUCUUAAGUUCCCUUUUGCCACUGUUAAUUCAUGGUUUUCUGAUAUUUCCUUAUUGUUUGUAGAUUGUUUGCUCAAAUAUGCUCCCCUUCUCUCUUCUUUUUCUAAGGUAGUCUAUUUGCAAUAAGGGGUGCUUCAAGCGUUUGGAAACAAGAUGAAGAUUUUUACAAACUGAAACGUCUAAUUAAACACCUGAAAAGUCUAGAUUAUUUGUAAUCUAAGGUUUUUGAACCAUUUAUUUGGUCUGUAACAUAUUGGAAUUCGUUGGAAAAAACUAUAUUUUUUUGGCCAUUAAUUGAUUUAACGAAAUUAUUAAUCGUUUA
Spinacia oleracea (spinach) is the source of this 468-nucleotide long non-coding RNA. RefSeq lists it as uncharacterized. The transcript is spliced from 2 exons. The record is from RefSeq and is a predicted model, not a curated record. Lineage: Eukaryota; Viridiplantae; Streptophyta; Magnoliopsida; Caryophyllales; Amaranthaceae.